UACUAGAGUAGCACUCGCAUAUCAAUAAGCGGAGGAAAAGAAACUAACAAGGAUUCCCCUAGUAACGGCGAGUGAAGCGGGAAGAGCUCAAAUUUGAAAUCUUAAAGGGUUUCCCUUUACGAAUUGUAGUUUAAAGAAGUGUUUUCUGUUGAGGUUUUGGUAAAAGUUCUUUGGAAUAGGACAUCAUAGAGGGUGAGAAUCCCGUAUUUGACCUUUACUUUCAACUUUGUGAUACACUUUCAAAGAGUCGGAUUGUUUGGGAAUGCAGUCCAAAAUGGGUGGUAAAUUUCAUCUAAAGCUAAAUAUUGGCGAGAGACCGAUAGCGAACAAGUACCGUGAGGGAAAGAUGAAAAGAACUUUGAAGAGAGAGUUAAACAGUACGUGAAAUUGUCAAAAGGGAAGCGUUUGACACCAGUGUUGUUUUUCUGAAAAUCAAUUAAAGAACUGUUUAUGCUAAGUUGUUUAGACUUUAUCAGCUAUCUGCUUAGUUUUGAGCUUUUCCUUAAUGCACUUUUCAGUUAACAAGUCAACAUCAAUUUCUUUUGCUGUAAAAAAGCUUGAGGAAGGUGGCUUGAGAUUCGUCUUAAGUGUUUAUAGCCUCUUGCCUAUGCAGUCGGAGAGAUUGAGGUCUGCAGCGUAGAUCCUUCGGGGCUAAAUGCAUUUGUGCUAAGUUAUAGCAUUUUAUAGACAACUUGUUGACUAUGAUUUGUCUUGUAGCUUACUCGCUUAUGUUAUUUUACCUACGCUUAGGAUGUUGAGUAGCGACAUACGCAC
RNAcentral lists this ribosomal RNA (774 nucleotides) under uncultured Neocallimastigales. RNAcentral describes it as "partial large subunit ribosomal RNA". It matches the Rfam family "Eukaryotic large subunit ribosomal RNA", at positions 20 to 649 of the family's 3401-position model. The record is from RNAcentral. Lineage: Eukaryota; Fungi; Neocallimastigomycota; Neocallimastigomycetes; Neocallimastigales.